GCACCCGUAGCUCAGCUGGAUAGAGCGCUGCCUUGCGGAGGCAGAGGCCAGUGGUUCGAAUCCACUCGGGUGUACCA
RNAcentral lists this transfer RNA (77 nucleotides) under Candidatus Saccharimonadota bacterium. RNAcentral's name for it is "tRNA-Arg". It matches the Rfam family "tRNA". Rfam says of the family: Transfer RNA (tRNA) molecules are approximately 80 nucleotides in length. Their secondary structure includes four short double-helical elements and three loops (D, anti-codon, and T loops). Further hydrogen bonds mediate the characteristic L-shaped molecular structure. tRNAs have two regions of fundamental functional importance: the anti-codon, which is responsible for specific mRNA codon recognition, and the 3' end, to which the tRNAs corresponding amino acid is attached (by aminoacyl-tRNA synthetases). tRNAs cope with the degeneracy of the genetic code in two manners: having more than one tRNA (with a specific anti-codon) for a particular amino acid; and 'wobble' base-pairing, i.e. permitting non-standard base-pairing at the 3rd anti-codon position. Lineage: Bacteria; Candidatus Saccharimonadota. The record is from RNAcentral.